Verticillium longisporum is the source of this 72-nucleotide transfer RNA. It matches the Rfam family "tRNA". Rfam says of the family: Transfer RNA (tRNA) molecules are approximately 80 nucleotides in length. The record is from Rfam. Lineage: Eukaryota; Fungi; Ascomycota; Sordariomycetes; Glomerellales; Plectosphaerellaceae.
GGACUGGUAGCUCAGGGGUAGAGCGUGCGAUUGCAGAUCGCAAUGUCAGUGGUUCGAAUCCGCUUCAGUCCU